UUUCCGUAGGUGAACCUGCGGAAGGAUCAUUCAUAAUAAGUGUUUUAUGGCACUUUUUUAAAUCAAUAUCCACUUUGUUUGAAAUGUCAGGGUUGAUCUUUCUCUCGAGGGGCUCAGCCCCAAACAUUAACUAUAUCCCAACUCUUUGUCUGAAAAAUAAUAUGAAUAAAACAAUUCAAAAUACAACUUUCAACAACGGAUCUCUUGGCUCUC
Molecule: unclassified non-coding RNA, 213 nt
Filed under: plant metagenome
Description: partial contains small subunit ribosomal RNA, internal transcribed spacer 1, and 5.8S ribosomal RNA
Source: RNAcentral